This 101-nucleotide non-coding RNA is filed under the name unclassified sequences. Its description in RNAcentral is "DUF3577 RNA". It matches the Rfam family "DUF3577 RNA". The record is from RNAcentral.
CGAUUGGAUAGCACUUUUAAAGUGCGAAAUCGUCUGCAAUCCGGACAACACCACGCACUGGUGUGACGACCGUUCAACUGCCGCAGUCUUGCGGCUUCAAU